RNAcentral lists this long non-coding RNA (388 nucleotides) under Equus asinus (donkey). RNAcentral's name for it is "lncRNA (ENSEASG00005033183.1)". The record is from RNAcentral. Lineage: Eukaryota; Metazoa; Chordata; Mammalia; Perissodactyla; Equidae.
GAAAGGGGGAAGGGAGGCAGACAGGCUUGUGCUGGGGGCCUGGCCAACAAUGUGCUUCUCCUUGGCAGCCAGCAGAGGGGAAGAGGAGCCCGCGGGAAGAACCGCAGGCGAGACGGAGAAUGAGGGCCAUUCAGGGUGUGACAGCCGCCUCGGCGAGGCUUAGAGGGACUCACCAGGCAGAUACGCAGGUCAGCUGGUCGAGCAAAAGUAGGCCUGCAAGACGUCGUGAUGUGAUGGCAGGGGACGACACAAUGCCUGCGUGAGGAGAUGCAGUGAGAAACAUCUCAUGGCGAGGAAGCUCCUCCCCAUGUGGCUUAGCCGGGACUCAAAGAUGCCCCCCUUCUUCACCCGCGACAAGGCCAGACACAGACUCUAAAUUCCCUUCUUU